ACUCAAAGGAAUUGACGGGGGCCCGCACAAGCAGCGGAGCGUGUGGUUUAAUUCGAUGCAACGCGCAGAACCUUACCGGGGUUUGACAUGUGCCUGUAAGGCCGGGAGACCGGUCCCCUCUUCGGAGCAGGUGCACAGGUGCUGCAUGGCUGUCGUCAGCUCGUGCCGUGAGGUGUUGGGUUAAGUCCCGCAACGAGCGCAACCCUCGUCGCUAGUUGCAUGUUUCUAGCGAGACUGCUGCGCAAAACGCAGAGGAAGGUGGGGAUGACGUCAAGUCAUCAUGGCCUUUAUGCCCCGGGCUACACACACGCUACAAUGGGCGGUACAGACGGUUGCCAAGCCGCGAGGUGGAGCUAAUCCGACAAAGCCGUCCUCAGUCCAGAUUGCAGGCUGCAACUCGCCUGCAUGAAGACGGAGUUGCUAGUAACCGCAGGUCAGCACACUGCGGUGAAUACGUUCCCGGGCCUUGUACACACCGCCCGU
RNAcentral lists this ribosomal RNA (483 nucleotides) under uncultured bacterium. Its description in RNAcentral is "partial 16S ribosomal RNA". It matches the Rfam family "Bacterial small subunit ribosomal RNA", at positions 899 to 1397 of the family's 1533-position model. The record is from RNAcentral.